UACGUAGGGACCAAGCGUUGUUCGGAUUUACUGGGCGUAAAGGGCGCGUAGGCGGCAUGACAAGUCACUUGUGAAAUCUCCGGGCUUAACUCGGAACGGCCAAGUGAUACUGUCAAGCUAGAGUGCAGAAAGGGCAAUCGGAAUUCUUGGUGUAGCGGUGAAAUGCGUAGAUAUCAGGAGGAACACCGGUGGCGAAGGCGGCGACCUGGGCCAAUACUGACACUGAGGUGCGAAAGCGUGGGGAGCAAACAGG
RNAcentral lists this ribosomal RNA (253 nucleotides) under uncultured bacterium. Its description in RNAcentral is "partial 16S ribosomal RNA". It matches the Rfam family "Bacterial small subunit ribosomal RNA", at positions 524 to 776 of the family's 1533-position model. The record is from RNAcentral.